This 704-nucleotide long non-coding RNA is filed under the name Phoenix dactylifera (date palm). RNAcentral describes it as "long non-coding RNA (PDAC_LNC010496)". The record is from RNAcentral. Lineage: Eukaryota; Viridiplantae; Streptophyta; Magnoliopsida; Arecales; Arecaceae.
AGCAUCUCAAAACUUAAUCCUUUCUAUUUACCACACGUAGUAAGUUCUUUUGAUCUCCUUCAAAAGAAUUCCGAACUCCCAACCUUGGAUUAAAAUGCCAUAAUUAUAUCCCAAAGAAAUUAAUUUCUCUUGAUUCUACAUAGAGAUCAUAAUUGGCUUAAUAGAAAUAGGAGAAAUCUUUAGUAUCUGUGGAGUGAUUGAUUAUAACCCUAUUUGAUUUUGAUGAGCUCAAAGCAUUUGAGUAUAUCUUUUGCUUACUAAUGAAUUCAAUCUAGUGUUUCAGUGAAAAUCUUGUAAAUUUAUGGUUAAGUAUCUCUAGAUUUGGUUCAAGACAUUUUGGAUAAGUUAAGAAGUCAACUUGAACCAAAGUCUGAGACUCGAGUCGACUCCGGGAUUUUACGAGUCGACUCCAAGCGUAUCAGAAGCAUUGGCACAGGCGCGAGUCGACUCCGGAACAUUAAGAGUCGACUCCGACUGAGAACAGACAGACGAACAGAAAGACCCAACUCACAACCUGUCAGCGAGUCGACUCCUGAAGAGCGCGAGUCGACUCCGAUGCUUGCCGAGUCGACUCCAGAGUAGUAUGAGACGACUCCAGGGAGUUACAGACAGAAAGAAAGAGAAGUCAUUUUGGACCCUGAGAGCCGAGUCGACUCCUGAGGAACGCGAGUCGACUCCGAUGGUUGGCAGGUCGACUCCAAAGG